Molecule: ribosomal RNA, 460 nt
Filed under: uncultured bacterium
Lineage: Bacteria
Description: partial 16S ribosomal RNA
Rfam family: Bacterial small subunit ribosomal RNA
Source: RNAcentral
CCUACGGGUGGCAGCAGUGAGGAAUAUUGGUCAAUGGGCGCGAGUCUGAACCAGCCAAGUAGCGUGAAGGAUGACUGCCCUAUGGGUUGUAAACUUCUUUUAUAUGGGAAUAAAACGUUCCACGUGUGGGAUUUUGUAUGUACCAUAUGAAUAAGGAUCGGCUAACUCCGUGCCAGCAGCCGCGGUAAUACGGAGGAUCCGAGCGUUAUCCGGAUUUAUUGGGUUUAAAGGGAGCGUAGGUGGAUUGUUAAGUCAGUUGUGAAAGUUUGCGGCUCAACCGUAAAAUUGCAGUUGAAACUGGCAGUCUUGAGUACAGUAGAGGUGGGCGGAAUUCGUGGUGUAGCGGUGAAAUGCUUAGAUAUCACGAAGAACUCCGAUUGCGAAGGCAGUUCACUGGACUGCAACUGACACUGAGGCUCGAAAGUGUGGGUAUCAAACAGGAUUAGAUACCCUAGUAGUC